CCAAUAGCGUAUAUUAAAGUUGUUGCAGUUAAAAAGCUCGUAGUUGAAUUUCGGGGUUCUACCGUUGGUCAGGCUAACAAGUCUGUACUAGCGUGUAGAAUUCCUACCUUCUGGGGAACCAUCAUGUUAUUAAUUUAGCGUGGUGGGAAACCAGGACCUUUACCUUGAAAAAAUUAGAGUGUUCAAAGCAGGCUUACGUCUGAAUACAUUAGCAUGGAAUAAUAAAAUAGGACGGUGGUCCUGUUUUGUUGGUUUCUGAAUCACCGUAAUGAUUAAUAGGGAUAGUUGGGGGCAUUAGUAUUCAAUUGUCAGAGGUGAAAUUCUUGGAUUUAUUGAAGACUAACUUCUGCGAAAGCAUUUGCCAAGGAUGUUUUCAUUAAUCAAGAACGAAAGUUAGGGGAUCGAAGACGAUCAGAUACCGUCGUAGUCUUAACCAUAAACUAUGCCGACUAGGGAUCGGACGAUGUUAAAUUUUAUUGACUCGUUCGGCGCCUUACG
RNAcentral lists this ribosomal RNA (498 nucleotides) under uncultured Glomeromycotina. Its description in RNAcentral is "partial small subunit ribosomal RNA". It matches the Rfam family "Eukaryotic small subunit ribosomal RNA", at positions 591 to 1092 of the family's 1831-position model. Lineage: Eukaryota; Fungi; Glomeromycota. The record is from RNAcentral.